UCGAGCGAACUGAUUAGAAGCUUGCUUCUAUGACGUUAGCGGCGGACGGGUGAGUAACACGUGGGCAACCUGCCUGUAAGACUGGGAUAACUCCGGGAAACCGGAGCUAAUACCGGAUAACAUUUUCUCUUGCAUAAGAGAAAAUUGAAAGAUGGUUUCGGCUAUCACUUACAGAUGGGCCCGCGGUGCAUUAGCUAGUUGGUGAGGUAACGGCUCACCAAGGCAACGAUGCAUAGCCGACCUGAGAGGGUGAUCGGCCACACUGGGACUGAGACACGGCCCAGACUCCUACGGGAGGCAGCAGUAGGGAAUCUUCCGCAAUGGACGAAAGUCUGACGGAGCAACGCCGCGUGAGUGAUGAAGGCUUUCGGGUCGUAAAACUCUGUUGUUAGGGAAGAACAAGUACAAGAGUAACUGCUUGUACCUUGACGGUACCUAACCAGAAAGCCACGGCUAACUACGUGCCAGCAGCCGCGGUAAUACGUAGGUGGCAAGCGUUAUCCGGAAUUAUUGGGCGUAAAGCGCGCGCAGGCGGUUUCUUAAGUCUGAUGUGAAAGCCCACGGC
Molecule: ribosomal RNA, 565 nt
Filed under: Bacillus sp. (in: firmicutes)
Lineage: Bacteria; Bacillati; Bacillota; Bacilli; Caryophanales; Bacillaceae
Description: bacterial SSU rRNA
Rfam family: Bacterial small subunit ribosomal RNA
Source: RNAcentral